Molecule: RNA transcript, 1016 nt
Organism: Lactuca sativa (garden lettuce)
Lineage: Eukaryota; Viridiplantae; Streptophyta; Magnoliopsida; Asterales; Asteraceae
Source: RefSeq, a predicted model, not a curated record
UCUCCUACGUAUUUACGCUAUGCAGCCUCCUCUCGCUUUCCUCUAUUCACAAUCUGCAUCGAACACUACCACCAUCGUUACCUCGCCUUCCAUCUUCUGUCGGCGCUGCUACCGCAUCGAAUCACCACACUCUCCUUCGUUCACUGCAGUACCGUGCUCCAAAGUUUGAAGCCCUAGUUUUCCCAAUUGAAGCUUCGAUUAGACUUUUCAGAUUCAUUGCAAUAUCAGUCUAUAGUUGAUGCAGAGUGGAAUAUCAUUUAUGAUAAGUUGGAUAAAUGUGUGAAGAGUGGUGCCAAGAUUGUACUUUCUCGUCUUGCUAUUGGUGAAAUUCAGUUUUUAAAUGUUUUUUUGUUAUCAGUAUUUUGCAGAAAGAGACAUCUUUUGUGCUGGAAGAGUUGUUAAAGAUGAGGUCAACAAUGUUAUAGAUGAGGCCCACAGAUAUCAAUGCUACAUCAAUUAGGGGACAUACUACUGUGGACCCCCCUUGCCCCUCCUUUACCUGAUAGAAAUGGAAGAUGAUUUGAUCAUUACUCUGUACCAUUCUCCGACUAUUAGGAACCAAUGCCCUUCCAUACAAUAUGGGGUAUUCCAGUCAAUUUACAGUUACUCGAAAGAAAAGCGUGAAAGAUGGCUUAAACGCGUUCUAUGUCGCCUGCAGUUAAUGACACCAAUCCAUACAAUGUAAUUAGACCAAGGGAGAAAGCUCACAGACUUCAUACAAGAAGGAUGCAAAGAAGAGAAAACAAUGUCCAAUCAUUUGAAAAGCUUCGCCAGUGAUAAUGACUAGAUGAAGAAUGUGUGCAAGAGAGGAGAAAAAGAGACAUGUUUACCUUUUGAGAAUCAUCGUUCACAGAAGAACCCCAUCCCUUUCAGCUUUCAGUUUUCACCUCUGUAUGUGUGGUUGGUCGAACACAAGUUUACCCUUGGAAGCAAUUUGAAUUUACUUUUAAUCCACAUUGAUCUUUAUAUGUUUGUUUUUUGAAAUAUUGGAUAAAAUAUAUGGAUUUUGUUUUUUU